UCCGGUUUGUCACCGGCAGUAUCCCAUGAGUCCCCAACUUAAUGCUGGCAACAUGGGACGGGGGUUGCGCUCGUUGCGGGACUUAACCCAACAUCUCACGACACGAGCUGACGACAGCCAUGCACCACCUGUGAAUGUGUCCCGAAGGAAGACCGUGUUUCCACGGCUGUCACAAACAUGUCAAGUCCAGGUAAGGUUUUUCGCGUUGCAUCGAAUUAAUCCACAUCAUCCACCGCUUGUGCGGGUCCCCGUCAAUUCCUUUGAGUUUUAAUCUUGCGACCGUACUCCCCAGGCGGUCGACUUCACGCGUUAGCUGCGUUACCGAAAGAGUUACCCUCCGACAACUAGUCGACAUCGUUUAGGGCGUGGACUAC
This 374-nucleotide unclassified non-coding RNA is filed under the name uncultured Gammaproteobacteria bacterium. Its description in RNAcentral is "contains 16S-23S intergenic spacer region". The record is from RNAcentral. Lineage: Bacteria; Pseudomonadati; Pseudomonadota; Gammaproteobacteria.